Molecule: ribosomal RNA, 371 nt
Filed under: uncultured bacterium
Lineage: Bacteria
Description: bacterial SSU rRNA
Rfam family: Bacterial small subunit ribosomal RNA
Source: RNAcentral
AGAGGUCUCAAGCGUUGUUCGGAUUCAUUGGGCGUAAAGGGUGCGUAGGCGGCGCGGUAAGUCGGGUGUGAAAUCUCGGGGCUUAACUCCGAAACUGCAUUCGAUACUGCCGUGCUUGAGGACUGGAGAGGAGACUGGAAUUUACGGUGUAGCGGUGAAAUGCGUAGAUAUCGUAAGGAAGACCAGUGGCGAAGGCGGGUCUCUGGACAGUUCCUGACGCUGAGGCACGAAGGUCAGGGGAGCAAACGGGAUUAGAUACCCCGGUAGUCCUGACAGUAAACGGUGCACGUUUGGUGUGGGAGGAUUCGACCCCUUCUGCGCCGGAGCUAACGCGUUAAACGUGCCGCCUGGGGAGUACGGUCGCAAGAUUA